Molecule: ribosomal RNA, 460 nt
Filed under: uncultured bacterium
Lineage: Bacteria
Description: partial 16S ribosomal RNA
Rfam family: Bacterial small subunit ribosomal RNA
Source: RNAcentral
CCUACGGGAGGCAGCAGUGGGGGAUAUUGCACAAUGGGGGGAAGCCUGAACCAGCCAAGUAGCGUGCAGGAUGACGGCCCUACGGGUUGUAAACUGCUUUUAUACGGGAAUAACGCGCCUUACGUGUAGGGCUUUGUAUGUACCGUAUGAAUAAGGACCGGCUAAUUCCGUGCCAGCAGCCGCGGUAAUACGGAAGGUCCGGGCGUUAUCCGGAUUUAUUGGGUUUAAAGGGAGCGUAGGCCGCAUGUCAAGCGUGCUGUGAAAUGUCCGGACUCAACCCGGGCCUUGCAGCGCGAACUGGCGUGCUUGAGUCCGCGGAAAGCAGGCGGAAUUCGUCGUGUAGCGGUGAAAUGCUUAGAUAUGACGAAGAACCCCGAUUGCGAAGGCAGCUUGCUGCAGCGGAACUGACGCUGAUGCUCGAAAGCGCGGGUAUCGAACAGGAUUAGAUACCCCGGUAGUC